RNAcentral lists this ribosomal RNA (397 nucleotides) under uncultured bacterium. Its description in RNAcentral is "bacterial SSU rRNA". It matches the Rfam family "Bacterial small subunit ribosomal RNA", at positions 30 to 429 of the family's 1533-position model. The record is from RNAcentral.
AUUGAACGCUGGCGGCAUGCCUUACACAUGCAAGUCGAACGGUAACGGGCCUUCGGGUGCCGACGAGUGGCGAACGGGUGAGUAAUGCAUCGGAGCGUACCUUUCAGUGGGGGAUAACGUAGCGAAAGUUACGCUAAUACCGCAUAUUCUGUGAGCAGGAAAGCAGGGGAUCGCAAGACCUUGCGCUGAUUGAGCGGCCGAUGUCAGAUUAGCUAGUUGGUGAGGUAAAGGGCUCACCAAGGCGACGAUCUGUAGCGGGUCUGAGAGGAUGAUCCGCCACACUGGAACUGAGACACGGUCCAGACUCCUACGGGAGGCAGCAGUGGGGAAUUUUGGACAAUGGGGGGCAACCCUGAUCCAGCCAUGCCGCGUGAGUGAAGAAGGCCUCGGUUGUAAG